GUUGACAGUGAUGGAUGCUGGGAGGACAGAUGUAUGUCUAAGUGGUAGACAUCUUUCAGAGCCCUGUUGUGUCUGGGGCUCAUGGGUAGGCGCUGUCUGUCAUAAGAUUACAAAAUCCACAAGAAAAGAAAAUAUCUGGAGAAACCCUUAGGACAAGCAGUCCCCCUGGUGCCCUCCACCUCCCAAAGUGACUGGCUGACAUUGAUAAUUCAUUGAUAACAAUUCAUUGAUAAUCUGAAACCACAGGGCCCACAGAGUGGUUCACCAUAUUUCCUGCCCCCUGCUUCUGGUCACUCCAGUUAAUACAAGUAAUUCAAGAUGUCCAGCUUCCUCAUGCAGCCCCAGCUGGCUCUGGGCUCCUCCUGUGUGGGUUGUCCAGUUAUCUUAGAAAGGGGAAGAGAGAGAACUUGGCAGAGUAUCAUUUACUCCAAAUAGUCACUCUCCCAUUCUGCGCAUAAGCAAUUUCCUAACACUAGAACCAAGGAAAGUUCACUGGGCAUUGGAGAAAUUGAAAAGGAUCCAGGCUAUGUGGCCCUGGGCUAGCCCUUGGCCAUCUCUGGGUCUUCACACUCUGAUCAGUAAAUGUAUAGAAGGAGACAACUGCCCUGUGGAGUGGUGGUAUCUGGAGAGAGGUCUGAACUAGGAGGAAAGGGAGGGAAGUCCCUCCUUGGCUAUUUGGUGCUCUAGUUAUCACUACUAAUAGCAAUAGGCCAUGGGCUGUGACUAUCUCUAAAAUAGAGAAAAUGUUACUUCACAGCGUUGCUGGAACCAUUAUAUGAGAUAGUGCCUGGCUGUGUCUAAUACCUGGAGUUAUUGUCUGUAAUGACACCCUUUCUCAGGGUUUGGAUGAAAUCGGGUUAGUAAUUCAGCCUCCUUUCUGGAAGUGGUGGUGGUCUCAGGAGUGCUGGCCAUGGAAAGGCUGUGAUCAAGUGAGGAUGGGAGAUGGAGUGGCCUGGACAGGGCUCACCCCCACUCCCCCGGCCAGUGAAGAAGAAACGCUGGCAGGAGGCCGGGCUGGAGUGGCAUGGGUGUGCGUGGGGGGUGGGGUGAGCGCAGUCACCAAGGGGGCCGGCAGCUGUGCGGGUCCUGGGCCCUCACUCACAAUUGGAGGAAGGCGUGCAGGAAGUGCUCACAGCCGCUCAGACAUCUCAGAGCCUCGUCCCAGGCAGCACCAAGGCCGAGGCACCCAGGGACGAGCGUGCCAUGGCCUGGGCCCUGGGGUGGUCAUCAGGUCAGGAGGCCCCGGCACUGCGUACAGCCAUAGCUGCCCCUCUGCCAGCCCGGGCUCCUGCAUCCAAGGAGUCUUGAGCUUAUGUUUUUCAGGACAGCGCUUCUUCCAGAGCUGCCAGUGGAGUUGCCCACGGCUCUUGGAAGCCUGGCCCAAGGCUGAGAAAAGUGACAGAGGCCACUAAAGUCGGAGUAGAGCCAUGUGGGGUGCCCAACGGCCCAGAGCGGGUACCAGCCAGGGCCUCAGACCAGUAUCUCCUUAGAAGACCACAGGGAGAGCAGCCGGAGGAGCAAGCCAUCACCAGCAGCUCCUCGCUUCGGAUGGGGAGCGAGUGAGGUCCAAAACACACCCUGGGCUGCUCAGUGGUCCGUGGCCACACAGGGCCAUGGAAGCAGCAGUGAUCGGGAUGGUGGCUGUGCUCUUUGUGGUCACCGUGGCCAUCACCUGCGUCCUCUGCUGCUUCAGCUGUGACUCAAGGAGCCAGGAUCCUCAGGGGGCCCCACGCCCCAGCUUCACAGUGGCCACGUUUCGCCAGGAGGCUUCCCUCUUCACUGGGCCAGGUCGCCAUGCUCAGCCAGUGGCAGGUGCCCGGGACUUCUGGACCUUCAUGUGAAAUCUACCAGCCCCCAGGAUUUGCUCUUGUUGUUUAGGCGCUCAUUCGUGUCCAACUCUUUGUGACCCCAUGGACGGUAACCUGCCAGGCUCCUCUGUCCGUGGAAUUCUCCAGGCAAGAAUACUGGAACAGGUAGCCAUUCCAUUCUCCAGGGGAUCUUCUUGACCCAGGGAUUGAACCCAAGUCUCCUGUAUUAGCAGGCGGAUUCUUUACCACUGAGCCACCUGGAAAGCCCAGGAUUUGCUCUGCUGCAGGUCAGACUCCUCUUCCCCCAGCAAGCCUUCUCUGGUGACCCACUCCUCCAGCCUGGCAUUUCUGUCCUGUCCAGCCUGUAUCCAGCAGACUCCUGACUCAUCCUAUUCCGGUUGGCCAUGCCCUCCAGCCUGGGAGAUCUACGGUGAUGGGACCAGUAGGAGUCAGCUCUGACCCCCGAGAGCUCAGCCGGACCCUACCCACAGGGUGGGGCUUACGAGAGGUCGAGAGUGAGUGACCAGGCAAUAUUGGAUGGCAUGGUGGGCCAGCUCCUCUGAUCUACAAGAUGCAGUGAAAUAUCACUGGACUUUAUUGUGAACAGAGUGUUGGUUAUCUCAAGAUGUCCCAGGAUGCCUAUGACGCCGCUGGUUCGAUUGCCACGAGAGGAAGCAGCGCCCUCAAGUGGACAGUUUCAGAAACCACUUUUUAUCUGUUCUGAGAGAGUCAUUCUGCUACUUGCCUGCGCACAUAUUGCAGAGCCCACUUCUGAGACCUGCCUCCUACCUGUUACCUGAAAUCCGCCCUGAAAUUCUGAAACCAAAAGCCUGCUUCCUGGGAACUGGCAAUUCAUUUCACAAUUGAAAAUGCAUAUCCUUUUAUGGGUCUCCCAAGAAUCAGGGUUGGGAAACCACAAAAGGAAACAGAAGAGAAAAAGAGUCACAGAAAGUACCAGACGUUUUAUUAAUAGGAAAGCCAGAAAGAAGACUUUGAAAUGUAUUUGCAUGAGACUUUAUUUCUAUAUUCUUAUGGGUCACUUCUAUUCUUAGAGACUGUGACUUGCAUCACCCAGGAAUGACUGAAAAAUCACCAACUGAAAGGUAAUUUCGAAUAAGUUAAAAUGUUAUAUUAUAUCGACAGUAUGUAACAAAGCUCUUGUUUGCAUCACAAAUAAAGAGAUGUUCUGUUUUUAUUUACAGAAGAGCUGUUUUCUCUGUACCAAUGAAAUGCAUGCCAGACCAUAUUUAGCAAACGGUUUGAAGGAUGCAGAAUUCUGAGUCUCCUGACUCAUAUCUCCAUCCAGCACUGAAGGAAUGACUCUCCCAGGACCUGGCGUUGACGGGGGCAGGACUGACCCAGAGAGGAGGUCUGGCCCCUGAGGGGGCCUGGAUGGGCCACCCUGGCCAUGUGGCUGCCAUAGAAGGACUCGCAGAGAGAGAUGCUUGGGGCUGUGAAAGUGCAGAGGUGUAAGGAGCCAGGGAGAGAGUCAGGCUGGUGGAGAGGGGUGAGUCUGGGGAGGGGAGAGGCACAGCAGAGGGAAGGCCUGGAGCGCCUGAGGACCCUGUGUCGGUCUCUCUGGACCCCAGAGCCCGCAAGCAGAGCCUUCACAGAUGCACGUGGAGUGCGGCAGGGAGGCCCCAGAGGGCCUCAGCUGAGCGGAGUGAACUGUUCAGUUCACGUUCUCUGAAAGCGAAGCCCAGACAGAGUUGUGGGGUGUGAGAUGUUUAUAGGAAUCAACAGCCAUGAGGGGAAGGAGGGGGAAGCAGGAUUAGAUAGAGGAAGGAGUUAAAGAUGAUGCAGGCCCUUAAUAUCCCCCAUCUUUGCUCUUCUCUGAGAGCCCCCGCCCCCUGAGGUUCGGCCUCAGGCAAAGUGGCUCCUGGCACAGGCUGGCCCUGAAGUCCUUCCGUGGAGGCGUCCUGUGAGCACCUCUCCACGGGAGCUCAGCAGCGGCCUGUUCCCAGAGCCGGGUGAGCAUGUCCGGGCAGAGAGAAAUACCGGGCGCAGGAGCUCCAGGUGGGCACAGCUGGUGGUACAAGGUCUGGGAGGAGACAAGAGAGUGGGCCUCAGCCUCUCUCUGUCCUCAAGCAGAGUUAGCUCUGCUGUAGGCCCAGCACCUUCAGCCGGACCCAAGUGUCAGGACCCCCGGUCCAGGGCUUUGCCUCUGUGUGCUGUGGUCACAUUCUUCCCUGAGUCUGUGGAGGAAGGUCUGUAGGCUGGACUCAGCCCUGAGAACAAGCAACGGCGAGGGGGCAGCCUCGCUCUGCGGGCGAGCAGUCUGCCAAGUCCCAGGCUCUCAUUGGCUCACUCGCUCAUCCACCCACCUACCCACCCAUCUGUCCAUCUGUCCAUCUGUCCUCUUACUCCACCUACUUGCUGAGCCUUACUUCCUCGCCGACUCAUGCAUUCAUUCAUUCAUUCCAUCACCCAUUCACUCCUCCAUUCAAAAAACACUGGCUGAGCACCGACUGUGUACCAGGCCCCACCCAGGGAACGUGAAAGUCACCAAGACCCAGUCCCAGCAACCGAUGAACACCCAAUUUAGUCAUCUGGACAGGGUGCUCAGGGGAGAGAGGGCCCCAGUCCCCAGGGAACCCGGGAGGAGGUGACCUUUGAGUUGGACUUGAAGAAAAGUAGGCACUUCAACAAGAAGAGCUUGGGGGAGGGUCCCCCAGAGGGACUGGCAGGAUUGGAGAUUCGGAGAAUGUGUGCAGCAGGGCGUAGGGGGUCAGAUAGAGUGGGGGCCAGGAGAUGAAACACAGCCAGCUCCUGCGGGAACCCCUUCUUGCCACACUUGGCCAGUAUGUUUCCGGGCAAGCGAAGGCAAUGAAGAGGCAGCCUGGCUUGUCAGUCUGGGCA
Molecule: long non-coding RNA, 4667 nt
Organism: Cervus hanglu yarkandensis (Yarkand deer)
Lineage: Eukaryota; Metazoa; Chordata; Mammalia; Artiodactyla; Cervidae
Source: Ensembl